GGGAAUGUGGCUUAGUGGUAGAGUGCUUGCCUGGCAUGCAUGAAGCCCUGGGUUCGAUUCCUCAGCACCA
Molecule: transfer RNA, 70 nt
Filed under: Dipodomys ordii (Ord's kangaroo rat)
Lineage: Eukaryota; Metazoa; Chordata; Mammalia; Rodentia; Heteromyidae
Rfam family: tRNA
About the family: Transfer RNA (tRNA) molecules are approximately 80 nucleotides in length.
Source: Rfam by way of RNAcentral